This 730-nucleotide ribosomal RNA is filed under the name uncultured soil bacterium. RNAcentral describes it as "bacterial SSU rRNA". It matches the Rfam family "Bacterial small subunit ribosomal RNA", at positions 34 to 757 of the family's 1533-position model. The record is from RNAcentral.
CGCUGGCGGCGUGCUUAACACAUGCAAGUCGAGCGGUAACAGGCGUAGCAAUACGUGCUGACGAGCGGCGAACGGGUGAGUAAUGCUUCGGAAUCUUCCUCGUAGUGGGGAAUAACCUGGGGAAACUCAGGCUAAUACCGCAUACGAACUACGGUUGAAAGCAGGGGAUCGCAAGACCUUGCGCUAUGAGAUGAGCCGAGGUCGGAUUAGCUAGUUGGUGGGGUAAAGGCCUACCAAGGCGACGAUCCGUAGCUGGUCUGAGAGGACGACCAGCCACACUGGGACUGAGACACGGCCCAGACUCCUACGGGAGGCAGCAGUGGGGAAUAUUGGACAAUGGGGGCAACCCUGAUCCAGCGACGCCGCGUGUGUGAAGAAGGCCUGCGGGUUGUAAAGCACUUUUAGUGGGGACAAAAAGCCGAGGGUUAAUACCUUUCGGUCUUGGUUUAACCCAAAGAAAAAGCACCGGCUAACUCUGUGCCAGCAGCCGCGGUAAUACAGAGGGUGCAAGCGUUAAUCGGAAUUACUGGGCGUAAAGCGUGCGUAGUCGGUUAUCUAAGUCAGGUGUGAAAUCCCCGGGCUCAACCUGGGAAUUGCAUUUGAUACUGGAUAGCUAGAGUUCGGCAGAGGGAAGUGGAAUUUCUGGUGUAGCGGUGAAAUGCGUAGAUAUCAGAAGGAACAUCAGUGGCGAAAGCGACUUCCUGGACCAGAACUGACGAUCAGGCACGAA